RNAcentral lists this ribosomal RNA (305 nucleotides) under uncultured bacterium. RNAcentral's name for it is "bacterial SSU rRNA". It matches the Rfam family "Bacterial small subunit ribosomal RNA", at positions 333 to 637 of the family's 1533-position model. The record is from RNAcentral.
CAUGGCCUACGGGAGGCAGCAGUGAGGAAUAUUGGUCAAUGGCCGGAAGGCUGAACCAGCCAUGCCGCGUGAAGGUCAGUGCCCUAUGGGCGUUAAACUUCUUUUGUGCGGGAGCAAUAAUGGUCACGUGUGGCCAGACGAGAGUACCGUACGAAUAAGCAUCGGCUAACUCCGUGCCAGCAGCCGCGGUAAUACGGAGGAUGCGAGCGUUAUCCGGAUUUAUUGGGUUUAAAGGGUGCGCAGGCGGCGAGUUAAGUCAGCGGUAAAAUUUCGGGGCUCAACCCCGACGAGCCGUUGAAACUGGG